AUGGGAGUGACCCCGCUGCUGGGCCAGCGCUUUAAGGUCCCUGGGGACCCAGCGGAGUGGGCCCGGGUGAGGCAUCUGGAGGCGCUGAGCGGGGAGUCGCGGGACCCGCAGAGGGCGCCCGUCCGUGUAGGGGCAGCAGCACCUGGAGGCAGGAGGCCCCGGCCGCCAGCAGGGGUCAGCCUCUGCCUGGGGGUCCCUGACUCGGUCUUCCAGGCCAGGCUAUGUCUCUUUGCCCAGGCUGGGCGGGGCCGUUUACAGUUGAAAAGCCCCGCCCCAACCCCAUCACGGCCGCCUGGCCCCGCCCCCGUCCCCAUGGAGACCCGACGCCGCCGGAAGACUUGUCAGCUGCUGUUCUGGAGCCUGGUGCCUGCCUUGUAUGCCCUGUGUGCCCCACGCGAGUGGUGCUGCUCAGGCUGGCCCCGACUCGAGACACCGGAAUGCCUAUCCACCCGUCCACUCCUGGGCCCGUUCCUCGCGGGGCGGGCUGUAGGGCACGGCGGGGGGUCUGAAAGAACAUCCAGCCCCACGUGUGUUCCCCUCCUGACUCAGGCUAGAUCACAUCUAAGCCUGCCAGGGAGGCUGGUCUCAGAAAGCCCCUGCACUGAUGUCUAGAUGUCCAGAGUCCCAAUAGAAGACUGUCUCUUUAAAAAUAUAAAUAAAAAUAAAAAGAUAAAGGGGACCUCUCUCUUGUUCUGUUUCCUUUCUUCUUCAGUUCUUCCAAACUCUGAUUUUUGCUCGGGCUAAUAGGAAAGUCAUCUUCUUGCUGCCUGAAGUCAUUGUCUCAUGUUCCUUUUCCUUCCUAGAGAUCUUCUAAACAGUGUCAACUAGAUCGCAGCCAUCUGGCCCCUGCUCACUUCAAUGGCAUUCAUUUCUCCCUCACCUCUGCUCAUUUUUGGAUCUUUCAGCAUUUUCCCCCAAUACACCAGCCUUCCCCUGCUUCUGUGGUUCAGCUCGGCUGCCUCCCUCUGAUACCCUCUUCCAGUGCUUAUUGUCUGGGCCAAUGAUUCUUCACUUCAUCACAUCCAGCUCAGGUAUUAUUCUUCUCUUUAGAACUACUUCCUCAUUUGCAUUUCUUAUUUUUGACAUCUCUCCUAGAAGGGCUCUGAUCUCCUGAAGACAGGUGCUAUCUUCCACGUGCUUAUUCCCUAACACUUAGCACAGACCGAGGUGUUCAGGAAGUGCUUGUGGAGUCAAGGCAUGAAAUAAGCCAUGUGGGCACAGGGCAACAGGAGUGGCAUGAGGCAGUCCCUGAACAUCAUGGUCUGUACUCCACCUCCCAGACUUGUGGCUCCCUGGAUGAACAGAGUAGGAAGAAGAGGAAUUUGAGAUCCCAGCCUGUCAUGUGAGGACAAGAGGAGAAGCAAAAUAUGGUAAUA
This 1376-nucleotide long non-coding RNA is filed under the name Macaca fascicularis (crab-eating macaque). RNAcentral describes it as "lncRNA (ENSMFAG00000059047.1)". Lineage: Eukaryota; Metazoa; Chordata; Mammalia; Primates; Cercopithecidae. The record is from RNAcentral.